AAGUCGUAACAAGGUUUCCGUAGGUGAACCUGCGGAAGGAUCAUUAACACGUAUCCAAACGUUAAACCCCCCUGUGAACCUUCACCUGUACUCGUACGUCCGUUAGAAAAAGCAGCAAUCUAAAUCAUCGCCGAACAGUUUUCGAUUCAGGGAUGUCUGCAAAAGUGUCAUUAACUGUGUAAGGAUGACGCAGUCACGAUCGUUGGAGGCCCACACGGCCGACGACCGGGUCACUGGGCGCAAGCCCCCCUAUAACAAACGCUGCUAAUCGCGGCCGCGAUAAUACGCAGUCGACCAAAAACCGAACAACUGUUAACAAUGGAUAUCUUGGUUCUCUC
Molecule: unclassified non-coding RNA, 338 nt
Filed under: fungal sp.
Lineage: Eukaryota; Fungi
Description: partial internal transcribed spacer region
Rfam family: Eukaryotic small subunit ribosomal RNA (bases 1-46)
Source: RNAcentral